GUUAAGAUGGCAGAGACCGGUAAUUGCGUAAAACUUAAGUCUUUAUGACCAGAGGUUCAAUUCCUCUUCUUAACA
Molecule: transfer RNA, 75 nt
Filed under: Hydrodamalis gigas (Steller's sea cow)
Lineage: Eukaryota; Metazoa; Chordata; Mammalia; Sirenia; Dugongidae
Description: tRNA-Leu
Rfam family: tRNA
About the family: Transfer RNA (tRNA) molecules are approximately 80 nucleotides in length. Their secondary structure includes four short double-helical elements and three loops (D, anti-codon, and T loops). Further hydrogen bonds mediate the characteristic L-shaped molecular structure. tRNAs have two regions of fundamental functional importance: the anti-codon, which is responsible for specific mRNA codon recognition, and the 3' end, to which the tRNAs corresponding amino acid is attached (by aminoacyl-tRNA synthetases). tRNAs cope with the degeneracy of the genetic code in two manners: having more than one tRNA (with a specific anti-codon) for a particular amino acid; and 'wobble' base-pairing, i.e. permitting non-standard base-pairing at the 3rd anti-codon position.
Source: RNAcentral